AAUGUAGCAUGCCCGUUUUGGUGUUUAACUCUGAUUGAUAUUUGCUAUUUAAUUACUUUUGGGUAACGGGGUGUUACAAGAUU
Molecule: microRNA precursor, 83 nt
Filed under: Medicago truncatula (barrel medic)
Lineage: Eukaryota; Viridiplantae; Streptophyta; Magnoliopsida; Fabales; Fabaceae
Description: MIR2617 microRNA precursor family
Rfam family: MIR2617 microRNA precursor family
Source: Rfam by way of RNAcentral